Molecule: transfer RNA, 83 nt
Filed under: Actinomycetota bacterium
Lineage: Bacteria; Bacillati; Actinomycetota
Description: tRNA-Leu
Rfam family: tRNA
About the family: Transfer RNA (tRNA) molecules are approximately 80 nucleotides in length. Their secondary structure includes four short double-helical elements and three loops (D, anti-codon, and T loops).
Source: RNAcentral
GCCCGGGUGGCGGAAUGGCAGACGCGAUGGACUCAAAAUCCAUUGUCCGCAAGGGCGUGCGGGUUCGAGUCCCGCCCCGGGCA